ACUGAGAUGCGAUGACUCAGUCAGUAGGCUACUCUUGUGAAUACGCUACGGGCUGGACGACCUAGUUUCGAUUCCUGACAAGGCAGGGUUGUUAGGAUUUUCCUCCUUGCCACGACGUCUGGACCGGCACUAUGGCCCACAUAGCCUUCUACACAGUGGGUACGAAAUAUCUUCCCUCGGAUGCAAAGCGGCGAAAGGGAAAUUUGUGCUUCUGGACACCACUGAACCUAAUGGCGCCAUAGGACAUGACACUGGCAACCCGACGCUCAGUGUCGCUGACAUGAGAUUUAGAAUAAGGCGAAGACCAGCCUCGAGUGCUAUCUAGGGGCAUGUCUGAGAUCGUUUUAGGCGUAUGUGAGAACAAACAAACACCGAUCUGGAUUUCAUAUGUACAGAAUGUACAGAUGGACAUCUUCAGAGGGAAUUUGUGCCUGAACGUCGUAGUUUCAUGGGAAGCCAGAGCUUCUACCCUGCACGUCGGUUGUUUUCAUCGUACUGAGUGAACCGUAAUAAGGCUUACGGUGCACGGGGAUAGCGGAUUCACCAUACUAAAGGCAAAGAAACUGAGACCAGCCAAUAACAAUCGGAAGGAUGUAUAACAUGACGUAGGACAUUGAUGAAUUGCCUUGUCAGAAAGUCAAGGUUAAAGAUUACCGAAGCGCUUGGGCGGAACUGGGAUGUUCUUCUGUGCGUGCAAUCCUCAUUCGCCUCUGGGACAUGGCUGAUUAAGAGGUGACAGUGAGUGACAAUGGAACACCUGCCCUGUCUUCUACGACACGUGCGGUAGUUACAGUAGCAGACACAAAUGAUCAUGCACCAGAGUUUGAACAGAUGUUCUACAAAGUCACAAUUCCAGAGUCUACAAAUUUAGAUGAACCUCUGUUCCAGAAUGGCACAGAGGACCUUGAGCUAGCAGUUGAUACGUUUCUCGAAAACGGCACUUGGGAGAGUUUUGAUCCCGACACCUUAUCAGGAGAACCAAUAUUAAGGGUAAGGAAUCUACAGAUCAGUGCCAGGGUACUUUGUAUGACAAUGUACAGCAUCAUUUAAAAAUUUAUUAAUGGUAUGUGCCUGCCUUUCUUUCUGUAUUUUGUGUUUUGUUUGAUGCUAGUUUGGAGUAUGGAUGUAUAUGUGUGCUAUGCUUUUGGGCAUGUAAAAAUGCAAAUGAGCACUUUGUUCUGAUAUGGAAUGUCAGUCAGUGUUGACUAAUAAUGCAUCUUAUUGUGUGUAAUUAUAAAGCAUUGGCUACUAUGCCUUUUGGUUUCUAGUCUGUAUAUAUUAGUAGGCAGCCUUCCAGACAUAAUAAGUGAGGUUAUGUUUGCUUAGCUUAUGUAUGAAUUUUGUAAUUUAUGGGUUGUACUUGAAGGGGAAAUAAGUAUAUUUGGCCCUUCUGAAACAUUCACCAAGGUACUGAAUUUAAAUUGAUUAUUAAAUAUUUAUAUAAAUAUUCGUAUUGUCCCUUUUUUUGAUCUUUUUGGGAGAUAUGUUUCUUGAAAGAUGACAUUACAAUUUUAUUUGCAAUAAUUCAGAAGUAGUCGAUGGAUUUUUAUCGAUGUAACUACAACAUUUUCAAACCUGUGCACUUAUUAACACACACUGAAUAGAGAUUUUGAUUGUAGUUAAUGCCACAUUCCUUACUGUUUUGUGUAUUUUUGUGUAUGUUGUUAGACUAUGAGUAGUUCUUACAACUUGUACCAUAGAAGUGGGAUAGUUAAGUUUUAGUUGCUUAUAAUGCAGGAUGCUGAAAGUGGGGUCUGGAUACAUGAUCGUUAUGUUGAAAUUCAUGUAUGUUCUCAGUCUUGGUGAUUCAUUCAGCUGUAAGAUCCAAACCGGUAAAAAUCGUUUCUUAAUUCGUGAUUUCUUUCAGAAAAAUAGUUAUGGCACUAUUUAUUGGAAUGUUUUAAGUGCAGGAUUAUAUUAAAAUUUAUGUAAAAUAAACAUAUAAUAUUUUUAAUUAAUUAUAUAUCAAUACAAUAAAUUCAGGGAAAAUGACAGGAGAAAGUUAUACACCACAGUUCAUGAAUUUUUGUGAGCCACAGAAGAAUUCCUUCAUAGAAUCUUUGCAGUUCAUCAGCAAAUGUCUGUCUGCCUGCGUGUUUGUUAUUAUUUGUGUUCAUUAAACAAUUCUCUGGA
Molecule: non-coding RNA, 2133 nt
Organism: Zootermopsis nevadensis
Lineage: Eukaryota; Metazoa; Arthropoda; Insecta; Blattodea; Termopsidae
Source: RefSeq, a predicted model, not a curated record